RNAcentral lists this transfer RNA (66 nucleotides) under Astrohamma tuberculatum. RNAcentral describes it as "tRNA-Thr". Lineage: Eukaryota; Metazoa; Echinodermata; Ophiuroidea; Euryalida; Gorgonocephalidae. The record is from RNAcentral.
GUCUUAAAAGCUAUCAGCGAUCUACUUUGUAAGUAGGGGGAGAUCGAUAAAUUUCGAUUUAAGAUU